This 468-nucleotide ribosomal RNA is filed under the name uncultured bacterium. Its description in RNAcentral is "partial 16S ribosomal RNA". It matches the Rfam family "Bacterial small subunit ribosomal RNA", at positions 28 to 507 of the family's 1533-position model. The record is from RNAcentral.
GACGAACGCUGGCGGCGUGCUUAACACAUGCAAGUCGAACGGAAAGGCCCUGCUUUUGGGGGGUGCUCGAGUGGCGAACGGGUGGGUAACACGUGCGUAACCUGCCCUUGCCUUUGGGAUAACUUCAGGAAACUGGGGCUAAUACCUGCUAGGAGCUCCUGCAGCAUGGUGGGGGUUGGAAAGGUUCGGCGGUUGGGGAUGGACUCGCGGCUUAUCAGCUUGUUGGUGGGGUAGUGGCUUACCCAGGCUUUGACGGGUAGCCGGCCUGAGAGGGUGACCGGCCACAUUGGGACUGAGAUACGGCCAAGACUCAUACGGGAGGCAGCAGUGGGGAAUAGUGCACAAUGGGCGGAAGCCGGAUGCAGCAACGCCGCGUGCGGGAUGACGGCCUUCGGGGUGUAAACCGCUUUCGCCUGUGACGAAGCGUGAGUGACGGUAAUGGGUAAAGAAGCACCGGCUAACUACGUG